RNAcentral lists this ribosomal RNA (501 nucleotides) under uncultured bacterium. RNAcentral's name for it is "partial 16S ribosomal RNA". It matches the Rfam family "Bacterial small subunit ribosomal RNA", at positions 29 to 523 of the family's 1533-position model. The record is from RNAcentral.
AUUGAACGCUGGCGGCAUGCCUUACACAUGCAAGUCGAACGGCAGCACGGGUGCUUGCACCUGGUGGCGAGUGGCGAACGGGUGAUUAAUACAUCGGAACGUACCUUAUCGUGGGGGAUAACGCAGCGAAAGCUGUGCUCAUACCGCAUACGCCCUGAGGGGGAAAGCGGGGGAUCGAAAGACCUCGCGCGAUUAGAGCGGCCGAUGCCUGAUUAGCUUGUUGGUGGGGUAAAAGCCCACCAAGGCGACGAUCAGUAGCUGGUCUGAGAGGACGAUCAGCCACACGGGGACUGAGACACGGCCCAGACUCCUACGGGGGGGAGCAGUGGGGGAUUUUGGACAAUGGGGGCAACACUGAUCCAGCAAUGCCGCGUGAGUGAAGAAGGCCUUCGGGUUGUAAAGCUCUUUUGUCAGGGAAGAAACACCGGCUCUAACACAGUCCGGGAAUGACGGUACCUGAAGAAUAAGCACCGGCUAACUACGUGCCAGCAGCCGCCGCGG